This 2929-nucleotide ribosomal RNA is filed under the name Escherichia coli. RNAcentral's name for it is "bacterial LSU rRNA". It matches the Rfam family "Bacterial large subunit ribosomal RNA". Lineage: Bacteria; Pseudomonadati; Pseudomonadota; Gammaproteobacteria; Enterobacterales; Enterobacteriaceae. The record is from RNAcentral.
GGGUUGUGAGGUUAAGCGACUAAGCGUACACGGUGGAUGCCCUGGCAGUCAGAGGCGAUGAAGGACGUGCUAAUCUGCGAUAAGCGUCGGUAAGGUGAUAUGAACCGUUAUAACCGGCGAUUUCCGAAUGGGGAAACCCAGUGUGUUUCGACACACUAUCAUUAACUGAAUCCAUAGGUUAAUGAGGCGAACCGGGGGAACUGAAACAUCUAAGUACCCCGAGGAAAAGAAAUCAACCGAGAUUCCCCCAGUAGCGGCGAGCGAACGGGGAGCAGCCCAGAGCCUGAAUCAGUAUGUGUGUUAGUGGAAGCGUCUGGAAAGGCGCGCGAUACAGGGUGACAGCCCCGUACACAAAAAUGCACAUGCUGUGAGCUCGAUGAGUAGGGCGGGACACGUGGUAUCCUGUCUGAAUAUGGGGGGACCAUCCUCCAAGGCUAAAUACUCCUGACUGACCGAUAGUGAACCAGUACCGUGAGGGAAAGGCGAAAAGAACCCCGGCGAGGGGAGUGAAAAAGAACCUGAAACCGUGUACGUACAAGCAGUGGGAGCACGCUUAGGCGUGUGACUGCGUACCUUUUGUAUAAUGGGUCAGCGACUUAUAUUCUGUAGCAAGGUUAACCGAAUAGGGGAGCCGAAGGGAAACCGAGUCUUAACUGGGCGUUAAGUUGCAGGGUAUAGACCCGAAACCCGGUGAUCUAGCCAUGGGCAGGUUGAAGGUUGGGUAACACUAACUGGAGGACCGAACCGACUAAUGUUGAAAAAUUAGCGGAUGACUUGUGGCUGGGGGUGAAAGGCCAAUCAAACCGGGAGAUAGCUGGUUCUCCCCGAAAGCUAUUUAGGUAGCGCCUCGUGAAUUCAUCUCCGGGGGUAGAGCACUGUUUCGGCAAGGGGGUCAUCCCGACUUACCAACCCGAUGCAAACUGCGAAUACCGGAGAAUGUUAUCACGGGAGACACACGGCGGGUGCUAACGUCCGUCGUGAAGAGGGAAACAACCCAGACCGCCAGCUAAGGUCCCAAAGUCAUGGUUAAGUGGGAAACGAUGUGGGAAGGCCCAGACAGCCAGGAUGUUGGCUUAGAAGCAGCCAUCAUUUAAAGAAAGCGUAAUAGCUCACUGGUCGAGUCGGCCUGCGCGGAAGAUGUAACGGGGCUAAACCAUGCACCGAAGCUGCGGCAGCGACGCUUAUGCGUUGUUGGGUAGGGGAGCGUUCUGUAAGCCUGUGAAGGUGUACUGUGAGGUAUGCUGGAGGUAUCAGAAGUGCGAAUGCUGACAUAAGUAACGAUAAAGCGGGUGAAAAGCCCGCUCGCCGGAAGACCAAGGGUUCCUGUCCAACGUUAAUCGGGGCAGGGUGAGUCGACCCCUAAGGCGAGGCCGAAAGGCGUAGUCGAUGGGAAACAGGUUAAUAUUCCUGUACUUGGUGUUACUGCGAAGGGGGACGGAGAAGGCUAUGUUGGCCGGGCGACGGUUGUCCCGGUUUAAGCGUGUAGGCUGGUUUUCCAGGCAAAUCCGGAAAAUCAAGGCUGAGGCGUGAUGACGAGGCACUACGGUGCUGAAGCAACAAAUGCCCUGCUUCCAGGAAAAGCCUCUAAGCAUCAGGUAACAUCAAAUCGUACCCCAAACCGACACAGGUGGUCAGGUAGAGAAUACCAAGGCGCUUGAGAGAACUCGGGUGAAGGAACUAGGCAAAAUGGUGCCGUAACUUCGGGAGAAGGCACGCUGAUAUGUAGGUGAAGCGACUUGCUCGUGGAGCUGAAAUCAGUCGAAGAUACCAGCUGGCUGCAACUGUUUAUUAAAAACACAGCACUGUGCAAACACGAAAGUGGACGUAUACGGUGUGACGCCUGCCCGGUGCCGGAAGGUUAAUUGAUGGGGUCAGCGCAAGCGAAGCUCUUGAUCGAAGCCCCGGUAAACGGCGGCCGUAACUAUAACGGUCCUAAGGUAGCGAAAUUCCUUGUCGGGUAAGUUCCGACCUGCACGAAUGGCGUAAUGAUGGCCAGGCUGUCUCCACCCGAGACUCAGUGAAAUUGAACUCGCUGUGAAGAUGCAGUGUACCCGCGGCAAGACGGAAAGACCCCGUGAACCUUUACUAUAGCUUGACACUGAACAUUGAGCCUUGAUGUGUAGGAUAGGUGGGAGGCUUUGAAGUGUGGACGCCAGUCUGCAUGGAGCCGACCUUGAAAUACCACCCUUUAAUGUUUGAUGUUCUAACGUGGACCCGUAAUCCGGGUUGCGGACAGUGUCUGGUGGGUAGUUUGACUGGGGCGGUCUCCUCCUAAAGAGUAACGGAGGAGCACGAAGGUUGGCUAAUCCUGGUCGGACAUCAGGAGGUUAGUGCAAUGGCAUAAGCCAGCUUGACUGCGAGCGUGACGGCGCGAGCAGGUGCGAAAGCAGGUCAUAGUGAUCCGGUGGUUCUGAAUGGAAGGGCCAUCGCUCAACGGAUAAAAGGUACUCCGGGGAUAACAGGCUGAUACCGCCCAAGAGUUCAUAUCGACGGCGGUGUUUGGCACCUCGAUGUCGGCUCAUCACAUCCUGGGGCUGAAGUAGGUCCCAAGGGUAUGGCUGUUCGCCAUUUAAAGUGGUACGCGAGCUGGGUUUAGAACGUCGUGAGACAGUUCGGUCCCUAUCUGCCGUGGGCGCUGGAGAACUGAGGGGGGCUGCUCCUAGUACGAGAGGACCGGAGUGGACGCAUCACUGGUGUUCGGGUUGUCAUGCCAAUGGCACUGCCCGGUAGCUAAAUGCGGAAGAGAUAAGUGCUGAAAGCAUCUAAGCACGAAACUUGCCCCGAGAUGAGUUCUCCCUGACUCCUUGAGAGUCCUGAAGGAACGUUGAAGACGACGACGUUGAUAGGCCGGGUGUGUAAGCGCAGCGAUGCGUUGAGCUAACCGGUACUAAUGAACCGUGAGGCUUAACCUUACAACGCCGAAGCUGUU